GGUUAAGCGACUAAGCGUACACGGUGGAUGCCCUGGCAGUCAGAGGCGAUGAAGGACGUGCUAAUCUGCGAAAAGCGUCGGUAAGGUGAUAUGAACCGUUACAGCCGGCGAUGUCCGAAUGGGGAAACCCAGUGCAAUUCGUUGCACUAUCGUUAACUGAAUACAUAGGUUAACGAGGCGAACCGGGGGAACUGAAACAUCUAAGUACCCCGAGGAAAAGAAAUCAACCGAGAUUCCCCCAGUAGCGGCGAGCGAACGGGGAGCAGCCCGGAGUCUGAAUCAGCUUGUGUGUUAGUGGAAGCGUCUGGAAAGUCGCAGGGUACAGGGUGAUACUCCCGUACACUAAAACACACAGGCUGUGAACUCGAAGAGUAGGGCGGGACACGUGGUAUCCUGUCUGAAUAUGGGGGGACCAUCCUCCAAGGCUAAAUACUCCUGACUGACCGAUAGUGAACCAGUACCGUGAGG
This 468-nucleotide ribosomal RNA is filed under the name Klebsiella michiganensis. RNAcentral describes it as "partial 23S ribosomal RNA". It matches the Rfam family "Bacterial large subunit ribosomal RNA", at positions 1 to 508 of the family's 2925-position model. The record is from RNAcentral. Lineage: Bacteria; Pseudomonadati; Pseudomonadota; Gammaproteobacteria; Enterobacterales; Enterobacteriaceae.